GGGCGGUUAGCUCAGUGGUAGAGCGUCUGCCUUACAAGCAGAGGGUCACUGGUUCAAGUCCAUUACCGCCCA
Molecule: transfer RNA, 72 nt
Filed under: Fibrocapsa japonica
Lineage: Eukaryota; Raphidophyceae; Chattonellales; Chattonellaceae
Description: tRNA-Val
Rfam family: tRNA
About the family: Transfer RNA (tRNA) molecules are approximately 80 nucleotides in length.
Source: RNAcentral